GGAAGAGCAAGUAGCAAUGAAAAGGCUGACGCUGCCCAGCAGGAAUACGGCAGCAUGUGGUUGUGAGUCCAAACUGCCUACUGGUUGGAAGGAAAUGGGGGCGGGGAAUCCUAAUCCUAACGGGAAAAGGCAGACGCGCCCUCUCCUGGCAUCUCGGAAGAAUUCUGUUUCACUUUCUAGACCGCCAGCUCGUCAGGCUCCGCCUGCCGGAUCUUUGACAUCAAUCACCCUUGAGUUAACCUCCAGAACUGGGCAGAGGGGUAGCGUGUCAGUGCCCGCCCCCACACGUAAUUCCCGAGUGUCCCUCCUGCGUCUGUUAGGGGUGCCUGGGGUGAGUCACACUCCCUUUGGGUUUCUUUCUACUAUUUUAAACCAUAUUAAGCUCCUACAGAGCCCACAGGGGGGUGUAGCCACAGGUGCUCUGCUAUGUGACUGGCUCCCUGCUCCUCUUCUCCACUGGUGCCAGACCAUACUUGCUCCAACAUGGCCAUCUAAGAAGGGGACCCAGAAGGACAGCUGGGAAAGCAGCAAGAUGACCAUCUACGUGUUGUCCUUUGGGAAUGACUUUCAAGUUCAUGGCUGCGGUGGCUGCUACCCAAAGUCAACAGCACGGAAACCUUCCUGUUAUAUCAGAACCUCUAUCUAA
Molecule: long non-coding RNA, 646 nt
Filed under: Lynx canadensis (Canada lynx)
Lineage: Eukaryota; Metazoa; Chordata; Mammalia; Carnivora; Felidae
Description: lncRNA (ENSLCNG00005003012.1)
Source: RNAcentral